GACGAACGCUGGCGGCGUGCUUAACACAUGCAAGUCGAACGGAAAGGCCCUGCUUUUGUGGGGUGCUCGAGUGGCGAACGGGUGAGUAACACGCGAGUAACCUGCCCUUGACUUUGGGAUAACUUCAGGAAACUGGGGCUAAUACCGGAUAGGAGCUCCUGCUGCAUGGUGGGGGUUGGAAAGUUUCGGCGGUUGGGGAUGGACUCGCGGCUUAUCAGCUUGUUGGUGGGGUAGUGGCUUACCAAGGCUUUGACGGGUAGCCGGCCUGAGAGGGUGACCGGCCACAUUGGGACAGAGAUACGGCCCAGACUCCUACGGGAGGCAGCAGUGGGGAAUAUUGCACAAUGGGCGGAAGCCUGAUGCAGCAACGCCGCGUGCGGGAUGACGGCCUUCGGGUUGUAAACCGCUUUCGCCUGUGACGAAGCGUGAGUGACGGUAAUGGGUAAAGAAGCACCGGCUAACUACGUG
RNAcentral lists this ribosomal RNA (468 nucleotides) under uncultured bacterium. Its description in RNAcentral is "partial 16S ribosomal RNA". It matches the Rfam family "Bacterial small subunit ribosomal RNA", at positions 28 to 507 of the family's 1533-position model. The record is from RNAcentral.